AGAACGAACGCUGGCGGCAUGCCUAACACAUGCAAGUCGAACGAGACCUUCGGGUCUAGUGGCGCACGGGUGCGUAACGCGUGGGAAUCUGCCCAAAGGUUCGGAAUAACUCAGGGAAACUUGAGCUAAUACCGGAUGAUGUCGCAAGACCAAAGAUUUAUUGCCUUUGGAUGAGCCCGCGUAGGAUUAGCUUGUUGGUGAGGUAAAGGCUCACCAAGGCUACGAUCCUUAGCUGGUCUGAGAGGAUGAUCAGCCACACUGGGACUGAGACACGGCCCAGACUCCUACGGGAGGCAGCAGUGGGGAAUAUUGGACAAUGGGCGAAAGCCUGAUCCAGCAAUGCCGCGUGAGUGAUGAAGGCCCUAGGGUUGUAAAGCUCUUUACCCGGGAAGAUAAUGACUGUACCGGGAGAAUAAGCCCGGCUAACUCCGCGCCAGCAGCCGC
This 444-nucleotide ribosomal RNA is filed under the name uncultured bacterium. Its description in RNAcentral is "SSU rRNA". It matches the Rfam family "Bacterial small subunit ribosomal RNA", at positions 26 to 518 of the family's 1533-position model. The record is from RNAcentral.